CGCCCCUGUUGCUAGCCCUCCCCUAGCACUUCUCUCUCUGUAUAAAUUUAUAACAUAUAUGCUCUAUUGAUCAUGUUGGGUACCUACUUUCUGUAGUCCCAUAGUUUGCUACUGUAUAUAUUCUUCUGCUGAUCAAAGAAGUAUAUUCUUCUGCAAGAUCAUAACUCAGGACAUAAACACUUGGACUGAUCUUAUUGGUUCUUGUUAAAUUUAAUGGGAUCAUACAUGGAAGGGAGAGACAUAAUCAGCUACAACAAGUUUCAGAAGAUAGUGAAGGGUUGCAUAUCUUGCUUGGCUUGGUUCUUGAUGAGCAUGGUUGGAGGGUUGAUCUUGGUUUGGUGGGAAGUAAAUUAUCAUCCAAGCAAUAGUCAACAGUGGAUGGUCCCUAUUGGUCUAAUUCUUAUGGUUACACCGGUCAUCGUCUGGUUUGCCGCCUUCGUUUCAGAAACCUGUAGUCCCAGAGAAUCAUAUGAUGGUGUUUCAAGCCUCAACCAACCUGUCAUGUCAUCGGAUAACUCAGUUCAUGACCCAGAAAGAAGAUGAUCGAAUACAGAGUUGCCAACGCCAUGCACGUGAUUCGCUAGUGAGACCCCUCCUCUCCUCCCCACCGCCCCUAGCUUGUUUUUUGGUCAAUUUUCUUGUUACAAUAUCACAUCAUCACUUUGCAUUGCAGGUUCUACUUGUGAUUCAUUGUUCAUAUAUUUAUGUAAAAAAUUAAAAACAAAAGCAUGCUGAGUGAAGAUUGAGGUUAUUAAAGUGGUUUGUUUGAGAUCAAUUGGUUUAAGAUGGAUGAUAAUAUGGAGUCACUCAUAUCACACUA
Molecule: long non-coding RNA, 820 nt
Organism: Camellia sinensis
Lineage: Eukaryota; Viridiplantae; Streptophyta; Magnoliopsida; Ericales; Theaceae
Source: RefSeq, a predicted model, not a curated record